Molecule: long non-coding RNA, 594 nt
Filed under: Zonotrichia albicollis (white-throated sparrow)
Lineage: Eukaryota; Metazoa; Chordata; Aves; Passeriformes; Passerellidae
Description: lncRNA (ENSZALG00000011116.1)
Source: RNAcentral
AUGGCUGGUGGCUUGGAGUUUGAGCUGGACUGCAUGAUCUUCUUUAUGAUUCAGCCCAACUCCCCUUAUCUGGCUGAGUGGUCCCACCUACCGGGAAAUUUCCACAGGGAUUCAUAUGAAUUUAUCGCAACUGAACCAAGUCCUGUCAUCAUCUGCUGCAAAAGGGCUGAUCAGGUUCUGAGAGAAAAGUCUAAAUUUUCUGGAUCCAAACAAGGACCACAGGUUUGGAUAGCAAUUCUUGAUUCAUGGAGGAGGUUUCCAGCUGAAAUGUGCAGUCCUAAGGAGAAACAAAAAUAUCAAUCAUCAGUUGGAAGGAACCCUACUGUUCUUCAAUCUGGGGCACUCAGCAGCAAAGAAGCGAAGAAACUUUUUUAUUUUGCUCUGCCAAGACUGGUGAGACUACUUACAGAAAAGGAAAAAGAAGGAAAUACAAAUUCACUGGCACUUCAUAAAUAUUAUUGUAGUUUUGUGGCGCAGUUUGAAGCAAAAAGACAUUGGGCAAUGCUGUUCAGAGGUGUACUAAUGUCCUCCUUUCUGAAACCAGGCUUCAGCUACCUACAUUUAAAAAGGACUGACCUUCAACCAAAUAUUUAA